Molecule: transfer RNA, 70 nt
Filed under: Ophiocten ludwigi
Lineage: Eukaryota; Metazoa; Echinodermata; Ophiuroidea; Amphilepidida; Ophiuridae
Description: tRNA-Val
Rfam family: tRNA
About the family: Transfer RNA (tRNA) molecules are approximately 80 nucleotides in length. Their secondary structure includes four short double-helical elements and three loops (D, anti-codon, and T loops).
Source: RNAcentral
UAAAAGAUAGCUAUGGGAAAAGUGUUGCUUUUACAAUGCAACGAUGUUUGUUAAACUCAAACUCUUUUAA